This 283-nucleotide ribosomal RNA is filed under the name Paenibacillus taichungensis. RNAcentral's name for it is "partial 16S ribosomal RNA". It matches the Rfam family "Bacterial small subunit ribosomal RNA", at positions 858 to 1141 of the family's 1533-position model. Lineage: Bacteria; Bacillati; Bacillota; Bacilli; Caryophanales; Paenibacillaceae. The record is from RNAcentral.
CAUUAAGCACUCCGCCUGGGGAGUACGGUCGCAAGACUGAAACUCAAAGGAAUUGACGGGGACCCGCACAAGCAGUGGAGUAUGUGGUUUAAUUCGAAGCAACGCGAAGAACCUUACCAGGUCUUGACAUCCCUCUGACCGAUACAGAGAUGUAUCUUUCCUUCGGGACAGAGGAGACAGGUGGUGCAUGGUUGUCGUCAGCUCGUGUCGUGAGAUGUUGGGUUAAGUCCCGCAACGAGCGCAACCCUUGAUCUUAGUUGCCAGCACUUCGGGUGGGCACUCU